Molecule: non-coding RNA, 88 nt
Filed under: Rhodovulum sp.
Lineage: Bacteria; Pseudomonadati; Pseudomonadota; Alphaproteobacteria; Rhodobacterales; Paracoccaceae
Description: Glycine sequence
Rfam family: Glycine riboswitch aptamer (bases 10-78)
About the family: This family represents the bacterial glycine riboswitch.
Source: RNAcentral
CACCCGUCCCGGGAGAAUCCGGCCCCCGCCGGUGCCGAAGGAGCAACCGCCCCGGUAAACUCUCAGGCCUCAGGACCGCGGACGGAAC